AUUUCUGUUCUUUUCUCUUUUUAGGGCCACAACCGCGGCAAGUGGAAGUUCCCAGGCUCAGGGUGGAAUCUGAGCUACAGCUGCUAGCCUGUGCCACAGCCACAGUGGUGCCAGAUGGGAGCCAUCUGCAACCUACACCACAGCUCCUGGCAGCACUGGAUCCCUGACCCACUAAACGAGGCCAGGGAUCCAAACCACAUCCUCAUGGAUACUAGUCAGAUUCCUUUCCGCUGAGCCAUCUUGGGAAGUCCCCAGAAUUUAUUUUAUGGUUCUUAGGUGGACAAAAAGUGUUCUUAAUUCCUCUGUAAAUAUUUAGGGACAUUUUCCUAUGAUACCAUCUGUGUCUCAAGAAUAAUAUUUUAUUCCUUUUUUUUUUUUCAUCUUCUUGUCCUUUGUCUUAUUUAGGCCAGCACCUGUGGAAUAUGGAGAUUCCCAGGCUAGGGGUCGGAUUGGAGCUGUUGCUGCUGGUCUACACCACAGCCAUAGCAAUGCCAGAUCCGAGCCGAGUCUGCAACCUACACCGCAGCUCACGGCAAGGCCGGAUCCUUAACCCACUGAGUGACACCAGGGAUCACAACCGCAACCUUAUGAUUCCUAGUCAGAUUGCUUCCAUUGCGCCACGACCAGAACACCUCACUUUACUCUUGAUUUCAAAUUACUGGCAAGAAUUUGAAUUCGUUAAGAAUAUUCAAAUUAUUUCAUCUUAAGGUAUUUAGUCCAUGAUUUCUGCCUCUACAAUUCUUCAUAGUGUUUUCUUACUACAGUUUUGAUGUCUGCAGGUUCUGUAGUGAUGUCCUCUCUUUGAUACCUGAUACUGGACGUGUAUCAUGUUGCUUUUCUUUUUGCUCUAAAUCGGAAGACCUAGAAGUUUCUCAAUUUUAUUUUUCUUUUAAAAGAACCUGUGUUUUUUCUUUCAGUUACGUAUUCCAUUGUGUACCUCUUUCCAGUUUCAUUGGUUUUGCUUCUUUAUUUUUUCCCACCUUCUGCUUUAGCUUUCUUUUGCUCAUUCUGUGUCCUUUCUUGAGGCAGGAACAUACACGACUGGUUGGGACCUUUCCGUUAGUCCAGUGCCACCCCUGGGUCUCCUCCUGGGCCGCUAGGAGAGUGGACCUGCUGCCUGACCACUGUCUUCUUCCGCCAGUGCUCAGGUCUCCAGCUGCUCUGCCUCCUCUUCCUCCUCAGAGCCCUCCUACACUCUUUCUAGGUUGUUUCUGGGGUUCCUGUUUGACCAAAGAAGGAGAACAGGAAAACCAAGUCCAUUCCCUCUUAUCUGGGGGCUACUUGAACUUGCUGUGUCAUCUUCCAUCUCCUGCUUUGGCUGGUACUGUGGGUGCUUCCAGGUGGCUGACCUGGCAUGCCUGCUAGUGUAUUAAGGCUGGAAAUGGUUUUCUGGGAGUCUAGGUUGGUAGAUUGGAGCAACGGGCAAGAUGCCUAUGGGACAGUGCUGCCCGGGACCCACAGCCUGCCCCAGGCACCUGAGGGCAACAGCCACAGCUGUCCUGGGUCCAGUGAGUCUAGCAUGAGGAUGCACAUCUUUUUGUUCCUUUUGAUGGGAUUGGGAGGUUUGACACCAUGUCCAGCUUAAGGGAUCUCGCUUCUCCCAGCACAGCAUCAUCGAAUAUGUUAAUGGAGUUUCGGCUUGCUUGCUUGCUUGGUGGUUUUGACAGUGGUUUUGAAAGAUUCUGAAUCCUCUAGGUUUGUAGUUCUUUUGUCUUUCAGGAACCCAAAUCCCUCUCCCAUACUUUUCCUUUUCCCUUCACCACGCAAUUGCCAAACUGCUCUUCUUCCUUUGUUUUUGCCUUUUCUACCCAGGAGUCACACACGUUACAUCCUGACUGCCUGCUGAGUGACAUGUGUCCUCCUUGAAUGAGGUUCUUAUUGCCACUAAGAACUUACCAGGUGGAGUGAUCUAAUACAAGACCACGGCACUGUCCUACACUUGUAGAGGACAGAAGCCUACAGGGGGUGGCCGGGCUGUGAUCCUUCUGAAGGUUGUAGAGGAGAAUCCCUUUCCUUGUCCUUGCCAGCUUCCAGAGGUCCGACAGUCCUUGGCAAAGGGCCCCACACCCCUGAUCACUGGUUUUCCCAUCUCCCCUCCUUCUCUGACUCUCUUGCCUCCCUCUUUUACUUCAAAGAAUCUUUGGAAUCAGAUGGCCUCACUCCGAAAACCUGAGCUAAUGUGCUCCUUUCAAAAGCCUUAACGCAGUCACUAGUAUUCAUCCUUGUUGACAUGUAAGGGGACUCUGCCAACUCUUUUCAAUCAGGGCGACUUUGAAUCCCCAUCCUGUGAGGUCUGCUCUUCUCUACAGGAGACUUUUCAGUUUUCUCCAAUUUAGGGUGGAUUUAUCAUUGGUGAUGGUAUUUCUCAAUACCUUUUGUGUUCCUUUGCUGCUACCCUUGUCUGUUUCUCGGGCACUUCUCCUGGUGGCUGGAAGAGGGUGGGAUGGCAGCUUGGUGACAGCUUAUCCAUCAGAAUUUGGAUGAUUUUUCUCUUGACUCACAGCUAUUUUCAGUUCUGGCAUUUGCUCUUCAAGUAAUAGGACCCCUGCAGCCUGAGACAGGAGUGGGUGAGAAGGAGGGACCUCCAUACCCUGAUGUCUGAUCCACUUAUUGCUCAGGACAGGAUCAGGUUCAAAGCCUCAGCGUGUUGAUGGGCCCAGGUCGCCUCAGAUGGUGUAAGUGGAGUCCCCUGGGAAUGGCUCCUGUGGGGCUUCUCUAAUGUGUCCUCCUGUCUUCUCAUUUCCAGACCAAAAGAUAGCUUGUCCUCUCCUAGUAACUCUUGUCCUAGUGCUGAAGGCCCUGCAGCUGGUGGGUGUCUCUGUCAUCUUUGUCCACAAGAAGUUUUGGACCUGACCCUCCUUCCUCACCCCCUUGCUGGUGUCACUCUCCAUCUCGCCUGCCUCAUUCUCGCCUGAGGGGCCCAGCCCAGGAGAAGGACCCAGCUGGAAGCUGCCAUGACUCUACUCCAAAUUCCUCGCCUCCACGGAGACCUGCCUGUACAUAUGCUCCAGGAGCAGCCAGAGCUGCGUCUUCAUGCAUGGUCACAAGCAGGGAUCAUGGUCGGGUAGCUCAGGGGACCAAUUCACGAUGUCUACCUGGAAUGUGAGAAAUAAGGCCAAUCAACACAGAUCAAUGGCUCUCCUCCAUGGCCUUGGACAUGGCCAGGACCUACACAUCAUGUCCCUCCUCAAAGGAGUUUUUCUGUCUUGUGGGUUCCUGCCUUCAGCCAACUCCCUACCCUUUGAUGUGCUCCUUUACAUCUUGAGAACACAUGGGUCCCCAUCCUGACUUUAGGAAGAAAAGUGGUUCUCCUGCCUUUUUUAUCUUCCCUUUUUAUGGCCACCCCUCUGCCACAUGGAUGUUCCCAGGCUAGGGGUUCAAUGGGAGCUGCCACUUCAGGCCUGUGCCACAGCUAUGGCAAUGACAAUCCAAGCCACAUCUUCAACCUAUGCUGCAGCUUAUGGCAACAUCACAUCCUUACUCACUGAGCAAGGCCAGGGAUCAAACCCACAUCCUCGCAGAUACUCUGUUAUGUUCUGAACCCACUGAGCCACACCAGGAGCUCGUCUGCUUUCUUUGUGCCCUAAUGUCCUAACCCUCAAACCCAGAAACUCUUACCCCCUCCUCUCUUUGCCAUGGGAACGCUCGUUCUCCUAUCAUCUUGCAUCUCUUCCACUUCUGUGACUCAUGGUAAAUACACUGUGUCCAGAAG
RNAcentral lists this long non-coding RNA (3712 nucleotides) under Sus scrofa (pig). RNAcentral's name for it is "lncRNA (ENSSSCG00060058329.1)". Lineage: Eukaryota; Metazoa; Chordata; Mammalia; Artiodactyla; Suidae. The record is from RNAcentral.